Molecule: ribosomal RNA, 465 nt
Filed under: uncultured bacterium
Lineage: Bacteria
Description: partial 16S ribosomal RNA
Rfam family: Bacterial small subunit ribosomal RNA
Source: RNAcentral
GACGAACGCUGGCGGCGUGCUUAACACAUGCAAGUCGAACGGAAAGGCCCUGCUUGCAGGGUACUCGAGUGGCGAACGGGUGAGUAACACGUGGGUGAUCUGCCCUGCACUUCGGGAUAAGCCUGGGAAACUGGGUCUAAUACCGGAUAGGAGCCAUUUUUAGUGUGAUGGUUGGAAAGUUUUUUCGGUGUAGGAUGAGCUCGCGGCCUAUCAGCUUGUUGGUGGGGUAAUGGCCUACCAAGGCGGCGACGGGUAGCCGGCCUGGGAGGGUGGACGGCCACAUUGGGGCUGAGAUACGGCCCAGACUCCUACGGGAGGCAGCAGUGGGGAAUAUUGCACAAUGGGCGCAAGGCUGAUGCAGCGACGCCGCGUGGGGGAUGACGGCCUUCGGGUUGUAAACUCCUUUCGCUAGGGACGAAGCUUUUUGUGACGGUACCUAGAUAAGAAGCACCGGCUAACUACGUG